This 77-nucleotide transfer RNA is filed under the name Bartonella quintana. RNAcentral's name for it is "tRNA-Pro(tgg)". It matches the Rfam family "tRNA". Rfam says of the family: Transfer RNA (tRNA) molecules are approximately 80 nucleotides in length. Their secondary structure includes four short double-helical elements and three loops (D, anti-codon, and T loops). The record is from RNAcentral. RNAcentral also lists the same sequence under 45 other names. Lineage: Bacteria; Pseudomonadati; Pseudomonadota; Alphaproteobacteria; Hyphomicrobiales; Bartonellaceae.
CGGAGCGUAGCGCAGCCUGGUAGCGCACCUGAUUUGGGAUCAGGGGGUCGUAGGUUCGAAUCCUAUCGCUCCGACCA